This is a long non-coding RNA of Drosophila pseudoobscura, 502 nucleotides long. RefSeq lists it as uncharacterized. The transcript is spliced from 2 exons. NCBI's taxonomy places the organism in Eukaryota, Metazoa, Arthropoda, Insecta, Diptera, Drosophilidae. The record is from RefSeq and is a predicted model, not a curated record.
CGUAGACACAUCUCUGGGAAUGGAUGACCAGGCCAGGCCAGGCCAGGCCAGAACGGAAGAGGCCAAAACAGAGCCAGCACCGGUCCAGUUCCAGAGAAGAGAGAGCACUGCGUGUGCUUAGUAAAAAUUUAUGGGCAUGAGGUUUCUGGAACAGGAACGAGAGGACGGGAAGGGUCCUCCAAGUGGCGGCAUCAUUUGGCCAUUGUCCGGCCAGGAGCCCAGUCCUUGCUAUUCAUUGCGCGCCCCUCUGCCCCACGGAUGCUGCUGCCGCAUGGAAGUGAUUAACAUUAAAUCAUACAGACGGGGGGGUCAUAUCUUUGGCGGACACACCUGACAGCCGCUCGGAACGGCUUCAAUCUCUCUGGAAGGUAGGAUCUCCAUCUUGUAGGCCCCUUCCCGGACCCGCCGGACAAUUACACUUUGCGGCCCAUCCUCAUUCAUCCAUUUUCACGCACGUACAAUUUUUUCGCACACAAUUUUCACCUUUUGCGUGGAAAACCCC